UACCAGCACCCCGAGUGGUCGGGACGAUUAUUGGGCCUAAAGCAUCCGUAGCCGGUUCUGCAAGUCCCCCGUUAAAUCCAGCUGCUCAACAGAUGGGCCGCGGAGGAUACUAUAGAGCUAGGAGGCGGGAGAGGCAAGCGGUACUCGAUGGGUAGGGGUAAAAUCCGUUGAUCCAUUGAAGACCACCAGUGGCGAAGGCGGCUUGCCAGAACGCGCUCGACGGUGAGGGAUGAAAGCUGGGGGAGCAAACCGG
This 253-nucleotide ribosomal RNA is filed under the name uncultured bacterium. Its description in RNAcentral is "partial 16S ribosomal RNA". It matches the Rfam family "Archaeal small subunit ribosomal RNA", at positions 474 to 727 of the family's 1478-position model. The record is from RNAcentral.